CCUACGUGUGGCAGCAGUGAGGAAUAUUGGUCAAUGGGCGCGAGCCUGAACCAGCCAAGUAGCGUGAAGGAUGACUGCCCUACGGGUUGUAAACUUCUUUUAUAAAGGAAUAAAGUGAGGCACGUGUGCCUUUUUGUAGGUACUUUCUGAAUAAGGAUCGGCUAACUCCGUGCCAGCAGCCGCGGUAAUACGGAGGAUCCGAGCGGUAUCCGGAUUUAUUGGUUUUAAAGGGAGCGUAGAUGGGAUGUUAAGUCAGUUGGGAAAGGUUGCGGCUCAACCGUCAAAGUGCAAUUGAUACUGGCAGCCUUGAGUACAGUUGAGGUAGGCGGAAUUCGUGGUGUAGCGGUGAAAUGCUUAGAUAUCACGAAGAACUCCGAUUGCGAAGGCAGCUUACUAAACUGCCACUGACAUUGAUGCUCGAAAGUGUGGGUAUCAAACAGGAUUAGAUACCCCUGUAGUC
Molecule: ribosomal RNA, 460 nt
Filed under: uncultured bacterium
Lineage: Bacteria
Description: partial 16S ribosomal RNA
Rfam family: Bacterial small subunit ribosomal RNA
Source: RNAcentral